GAAUUCGCCCUUAGAGUUUGAUCCUGGCUCAGGACGAACGCUGGCGGCGUGCCUAACACAUGCAAGUCGAGCGAAUGAAGUUCCUUCGGGAACGGAUUUAGCGGCGGACGGGUGAGUAACACGUGGGCAACCUGCCUCAUAGAGGGGAAUAGCCUUCCGAAAGGGAGAUUAAUACCGCAUAAGAUUGUAGUACCGCAUGGUACAGCAAUUAAAGGAGCAAUCCGCUAUGAGAUGGGCCCGCGGCGCAUUAGCUAGUUGGUGAGGUAACGGCUCACCAAGGCGACGAUGCGUAGCCGACCUGAGAGGGUGAUCGGCCACAUUGGGACUGAGACACGGCCCAGACUCCUACGGGAGGCAGCAGUGGGGAAUAUUGCACAAUGGGGGAAACCCUGAUGCAGCAACGCCGCGUGAGUGAUGACGGCCUUCGGGUUGUAAAGCUCUGUCUUCAGGGACGAUAAUGACGGUACCUGAGGAGGAAGCCACGGCUAACUACGUGCCAGCAGCCGCGGUAAUACGUAGGUGGCGAGCGUUGUCCGGAUUUACUGGGCGUAAAGGGAGCGUAGGCGGAUUUUUAAGUGAGAUGUGAAAUACUCGGGCUUAACCUGAGUGCUGCAUUUCAAACUGGAAGUCUAGAGUGCAGGAGAGGAGAAGGGAAUUCCUAGUGUAGCGGUGAAAUGCGUAGAGAUUAGGAAGAACACCAGUGGCGAAGGCGCUUCUCUGGACUGUAACUGACGCUGAGGCUCGAAAGCGUGGGGAGCAAACAGGAUUAAAUACCCUGGAAGUCCACGCCGUAAACGAUGAAUAACUAGGGGAAGGGGUUUGUCUGGCCUUCGGUGCCGCCCCCUAACGCAUUAAGUAUUUCCGCCUGGGG
RNAcentral lists this ribosomal RNA (871 nucleotides) under uncultured bacterium. RNAcentral describes it as "bacterial SSU rRNA". It matches the Rfam family "Bacterial small subunit ribosomal RNA", at positions 1 to 878 of the family's 1533-position model. The record is from RNAcentral.